CUCUUCGUUUAUUUUAUUAUGUAUUUCAUGUUAAAAUUAUAUAUAUUUUAAACCUUUAGUGCGUUAUUCCUAUUAAUUCUAGUUCAUAUUCAUUUAUACAUAUUAGUAUUUAUUGUUAUCCGAGUAAUAUCCAAUAUAAAUCUGAGCCAUAUCUGAAUCAGAAUCCGAUUUCAGCGAAUAUGGUAAAUAAAAAUUUAGCAUCCGACAUACAUCCGGAUCCGAAUUCACAUCCAGAAAAAAAUAAAAGUAGAUAGAUUUUGUUAAAAAUUGGAUUGUAUUAGACUAUUUUCACCCCUACU
This 299-nucleotide long non-coding RNA is filed under the name Ananas comosus (pineapple). Its description in RNAcentral is "long non-coding RNA (ACOM_LNC030169)". The record is from RNAcentral. Lineage: Eukaryota; Viridiplantae; Streptophyta; Magnoliopsida; Poales; Bromeliaceae.